RNAcentral lists this transfer RNA (62 nucleotides) under Tinaminyssus melloi. RNAcentral describes it as "tRNA-Gln". The record is from RNAcentral. Lineage: Eukaryota; Metazoa; Arthropoda; Arachnida; Mesostigmata; Rhinonyssidae.
UAAUUUUAGGUGUUAUGGCACGUCAAAUUUUGAUUUUGAAGGAAUUUUAAUAAUAAGAUUAA